UUGCGUGAAAUUUGGUAAGUAUUGUAAUAAAACCGAAUUAUUUUACAAAUAAAUUAUAAUUUUGCAUUUAUUAGGUCAUUUCCUUAGUGUUUCGCUGACCGACCUGUGAUGGUAUUGUGAUUAAGAGCUAAUACACAUUUUUCGGACGAUUCUGCUGUGCUGCGUUCCUGCUCCGCCUGUAUAUUGCUCCGCCCGUAUUUUAUAGUGUUGCGUUCCUGUUGCGCCUUUGCAUUAGUGUGUGCGUUGUGAUUUAGACACGUUGAAAUUUUUUGUAUGCUUCUGCUGUGCUGCGUUCCUGCUCCACCCGUGUAUUAGAUUGCUGCGUUCCUGUUAACAUACAUAUCGUCGCUUAAAGUACAAAACCGCGUAACUGACAUUUGCUGCUAAAAAUUGGAUUCGCUCACACACGUUUUUGGAUCAAUCCUUAUCCAUUCUUCCUGAAAUAUACUAGCCAAAAAUGCGAUUGCUUUUUACAAAAAGAUAACCAUUUUGAAAUAUGAGUGUUUUUACUCUCUAGAAAUUAAUUUAUGCAACCUCGCAUACGUGGGUUUGCAUUAUCUCUAUACGCGGUUUUGCAAUUUAUUGAUACAUGGUUUUGUACUUUAAACGACGAUAUGUA
Rhagoletis pomonella (apple maggot) is the source of this 619-nucleotide long non-coding RNA. RefSeq lists it as uncharacterized. The record is from RefSeq and is a predicted model, not a curated record. Lineage: Eukaryota; Metazoa; Arthropoda; Insecta; Diptera; Tephritidae. The transcript has 3 exons.